Molecule: ribosomal RNA, 279 nt
Filed under: Dialister histaminiformans
Lineage: Bacteria; Bacillati; Bacillota; Negativicutes; Veillonellales; Veillonellaceae
Description: Allisonella histaminiformans partial 16S ribosomal RNA
Rfam family: Bacterial small subunit ribosomal RNA
Source: RNAcentral
UAUGGUAAUUGCCAGCCGCCGCGGUAAUACGUAGGUGGCAAGCGUUGUCCGGAAUUAUUGGGCGUAAAGCGCGCGCAGGCGGCCGUGCAAGUCCAUCUUAAAAGCGUGGGGCUUAACCCCAUGAGGGGAUGGAAACUGCAUGGCUGGAGUGUCGGAGGGGAAAGUGGAAUUCCUAGUGUAGCGGUGAAAUGCGUAGAGAUUAGGAAGAACACCGGUGGCGAAGGCGACUUUCUAGACGACAACUGACGCUGAGGCGCGAAAGCGUGGGGAGCAAACAGG